This 255-nucleotide ribosomal RNA is filed under the name uncultured bacterium. Its description in RNAcentral is "partial 16S ribosomal RNA". It matches the Rfam family "Bacterial small subunit ribosomal RNA", at positions 524 to 776 of the family's 1533-position model. The record is from RNAcentral.
UACGAAGGGGGCUAGCGUUGCUCGGAAUUACUGGGCGUAAAGCGCGCGUAGGCGGUCGUUUAAGUCUUACCGUGAAAUGCCGGGGCUCAACCCCGCGCACGUCGGGGGAUACUGGACGACUGGAGACAAGUAGAGGCGAGCGGAAUUCCGGGUGUAGCGGUGGAAUGCGUAGAUAUCGUAAGGAAGACCAGUGGCGAAGGCGGGUCUCUGGACAGUUCCUGACGCUGAGGCACGAAGGCCAGGGGAGCAAACGGG